CUCAGUAGUUAAAUUCUUCGCCACUUGGCAAUAGCAAUAUAUGGAUCAAACUAAUGGUGGCUUUGUAUAGUCGUAUGUCUCGAGUUCCCAAGUUGCUAGGGUACGGUCUCUACCCAACACCUCAUCCACUUAUACAUUACAUAUACCAGAACUGGUUAGGGAUUUGUCAGGCAUUUGUGACUUAUCCAAGUAACUUUGAAGUAUGGUAGAACGAAUAUAUUUUGUAUGGUACACUUCUUUUUGCCCUCUUUCUUACAGGCCUAAUGCCUUGUCGGUUCCGGCACACCACAACCGACUGCUGUUAUUAACUAUGAUGUCUAUUACUAAUUAUAUGUUAUCUUACCCUUACGGCAAUAUUGCCCCGACCACAAAUAUAUAUGGCCUGUAUAGUCUUAUUUUAGAUGGCUUGCCCAAAUUGCUGAUCACAUUAAGUGUUUGAGAU
Non-coding RNA from Pelobates cultripes (western spadefoot toad), 442 nucleotides. The record is from the annotation of a GenBank genome assembly. Lineage: Eukaryota; Metazoa; Chordata; Amphibia; Anura; Pelobatidae.